RNAcentral lists this ribosomal RNA (743 nucleotides) under uncultured bacterium. Its description in RNAcentral is "bacterial SSU rRNA". It matches the Rfam family "Bacterial small subunit ribosomal RNA", at positions 94 to 823 of the family's 1533-position model. The record is from RNAcentral.
AGCGGCGGAUGGGUGAGUAACACGUGGGGAGCCUGCCCCUAAGUCUGGGAUACCAUUUGGAAACAGGUGCUAAUACCGGAUAAUAAAGCAGAUCGCAUGAUCAGCUUUUGAAAGGCGGCGUAAGCUGUCGCUAAGGGAUGGCCCCGCGGUGCAUUAGCUAGUUGGUAAGGUAACGGCUUACCAAGGCGACGAUGCAUAGCCGAGUUGAGAGACUGAUCGGCCACAUUGGGACUGAGACACGGCCCAAACUCCUACGGGAGGCAGCAGUAGGGAAUCUUCCACAAUGGACGCAAGUCUGAUGGAGCAACGCCGCGUGAGUGUAGAAGGUUUUCGGAUCGUAAAGCUCUGUUGUUGGUGAAGAAGGAUAGAGGUAGCAACUGGCCUUUAUUUGACGGUAAUCAACCAGAAAGUCACGGCUAACUACGUGCCAGCAGCCGCGGUAAUACGUAGGUGGCAAGCGUUGUCCGGACUUAUUGGGCGUAAAGCGAGCGCAGGCGGAAAAAUAAGUCUAAUGUGAAAGCCCUCGGCUUAACCGAGGAACUGCAUCGGAAACUGUUUUUCUUGAGUGCAGAAGAGGAGAGUGGAACUCCAUGUGUAGCGGUGGAAUGCGUAGAUAUAUGGAAGAACACCAGUGGCGAAGGCGGCUCUCUGGUCUGCAACUGACGCUGAGGCUCGAAAGCAUGGGUAGCGGACAGGAUUAGAUACCCUGGUAGUCCAUGCCGUAAACGAUGAGUGCUAAGUGU